UGGGGAAUAUUGCACAAUGGGCGCAAGCCUGAUGCAGCCAUGCCGCGUGUGUGAAGAAGGCCUUCGGGUUGUAAAGCACUUUUGGCGGGGACGAUGAUGACGGUACCCGCAGAAUAAGCCCCGGCUAACUUCGUGCCAGCAGCCGCGGUAAGACGAAGGGGGCUAGCGUUGUUCGGAAUUACUGGGCGUAAAGCGAGUGUAGGCGGUUGCCGUAGUCAGGUGUGAAAGCCUUGAGCUCAACUCAAGAAAUGCACUUGAUACUGGGUGACUAGAGGACCGGAGAGGAUAGUGGAAUUCCCAGUGUAGUGGUGAAAUACGUAGAGAUUGGGAAGAACACCAGUGGCGAAGGCGGCUAUCUGGACGGUUACUGACGCUAAGACUCGAAAGCGUGGGGAGCAAACAGGAUUAGAUACCCUGGUAGUCCACGCCGUAAACGAUGGGUGCUAGACGUUGGCGAGCUUGCUCGUCAGUGUCGCAGCUAACGCGUUAAGCACCCCGCCUGGGGAGUACGGCCGC
This 516-nucleotide ribosomal RNA is filed under the name uncultured bacterium. RNAcentral's name for it is "partial 16S ribosomal RNA". It matches the Rfam family "Bacterial small subunit ribosomal RNA", at positions 355 to 889 of the family's 1533-position model. The record is from RNAcentral.